This 561-nucleotide ribosomal RNA is filed under the name uncultured bacterium. RNAcentral's name for it is "bacterial SSU rRNA". It matches the Rfam family "Bacterial small subunit ribosomal RNA", at positions 338 to 916 of the family's 1533-position model. The record is from RNAcentral.
CCUACGGGAGGCAGCAGUGGGGAAUAUUGGACAAUGGGCGAAAGCCUGAUCCAGCAAUGCCGCGUGAGUGAUGAAGGCCUUAGGGUUGUAAAGCUCUUUUACCUGGGAUGAUAAUGACAGUACCUGGAGAAUAAGCUCCGACUAACUCCGUGCCAGCAGCCGCGGUAAUACGGAGGGAGCUAGCGUUGUUCGGAAUUACUGGGCGUAAAGCGUACGUAGGCGGUUAUUCAAGUCAGAGGUGAAAGCCCGGGGCUCAACCCCGGAACUGCCUUUGAAACUAGAUAGCUAGAAUCUUGGAGAGGUUAGUGGAAUUCCGAGUGUAGAGGUGAAAUUCGUAGAUAUUCGGAAGAACACCAGUGGCGAAGGCGACUAACUGGACAAGUAUUGACGCUGAGGUACGAAAGCGUGGGGAGCAAACAGGAUUAGAUACCCUGGUAGUCCACGCCGUAAACGAUGAUAACUAGUUGUUCGGGCACUUGGUGCCUGAGUGACGCAGCUAACGCAUUAAGUUAUCCGCCUGGGGAGUACGGUCGCAAGNUUAAAACUUAAAGGAAUUGACGG